UAGGAAGCAGACCCCCAGACCAGUGCUGUGGGAUGCAUAGACCCUUUUCUGCUUUACUGGUGUUUGUUGCCUUUACUGGCUCUGCCAUGCUGCGUUGGGCUUAGUGUGAUACAGCAUGGCAGGAAUUACUAGUGACAUAGUGAUAAGAAGAAAAUCUGAGACCCUAACAAAUGCUAGGAAAAAGGAAAUAGUGCAUUUUAUUAUUAUUUAUCUACAAUACUGAAGACUGAUGGCCACCACAGUCCUGGCCCUCAGAGCUAUACCACUGAUCGCCGUUGUCAGAGGGAAGACUCUGAAGGAGUUCACAUUGCCUUAGAGGAAGGCUGAGAUCAGUGAACCUGCUGUCAGGCUGGGCAUGGGUCAGACCAUCCAGGCUCAUUAGCAGACCUCGCCAACAGCAGAUGACACUUCAGCUAACCUGAGAGUAGACUGGAGGCAGUGCAGGAGGCACCAGGACCAUGCCAUGUGCUGAUCCAUUUCCCUUUCAGAAGACUUUAACAAGAGCCCCUUGCCUCUGGACUUCUGUCAUCUACUGCUAGCUCUCCCUGAAGAAUUGACUGUCAUGAAUGUGACGAGUCCAUGCUCUGUCCAUGCAACCAUUCCCAUAGCUUCAAACAAGCAGUCUUAUCUAUCAGAAUCUGUAGAUGGGGAGGACAGGUCAGAUGUGACAGCCUCAGCUCCGCCACCGCUCAGCCACCAACCUGCUGGGUGUUAAAGCUGGGAAAUUUCCAAGGUCUUCUCAACAUGAAGAGAACAAGAAGUAUGUGAACAGAGGUGUGUUUGAAGUCCCAGGAUUAAGAUGCUAAGUAACUAAUAGCCUGAGAUGCAAUCCAUGUAUUAUCAUUUUUAUUUGCAUUCAACUUAUCCUUUUUAUAGCAAAACUUGAUGCCCUGUAGCCACAGUUUAAAUGAAUAUUAAUCUAAAUUUUGAAAAAGAA
This 937-nucleotide long non-coding RNA is filed under the name Phasianus colchicus (ring-necked pheasant). RNAcentral describes it as "lncRNA (ENSPCLG00000022315.1)". Lineage: Eukaryota; Metazoa; Chordata; Aves; Galliformes; Phasianidae. The record is from RNAcentral.